UACGUAGGGUGCAAGCGUUAAUCGGAAUUACUGGGCGUAAAGCGUGCGCAGGCGGUUGUGCAAGACAGUUGUGAAUCCCCGGGCUCAACCUGGGAACUGCAUCUGUGACUGCAUCGCUGGAGUGCGGGCAGAGGGGGGAUGGAAUUCCGCGUGUAGCAGUGAAAUGCGUAGAUAUGCGGAGGAACACCGAUGGCGAAGGCAAUCCCCUGG
This 210-nucleotide ribosomal RNA is filed under the name uncultured bacterium. Its description in RNAcentral is "partial 16S ribosomal RNA". It matches the Rfam family "Bacterial small subunit ribosomal RNA", at positions 524 to 732 of the family's 1533-position model. The record is from RNAcentral.